This 611-nucleotide unclassified non-coding RNA is filed under the name Hevea brasiliensis (rubber tree). Lineage: Eukaryota; Viridiplantae; Streptophyta; Magnoliopsida; Malpighiales; Euphorbiaceae. The record is from RNAcentral.
GGAUUACGUUCUUUUUAUUUUACGCUAAUUACAGGUUGAGGUCUGCAGGAGCAGUUCUUGUAGCAAAGCUUGUUUCUGGAUCACUGGCUUAUGAUGACAUCUGGUUUGGAGGUAGAACGAGAAACCCUUGGAACAUUGAGGAAUUUUCAACAGGUUCAUCGGCAGGGCCCGCUGCCGGCACCUCAGCUGGUAUGGUUCCGUUUGCAAUUGGUUCAGAAACAGCUGGCUCAAUCACAUUCCCUGCAUCUCGUUGUGGUGUGACGGCACUGCGUCCAACUUUUGGUGCCGUUGGUCGAACCGGUGUAAUGAGCAUAUCAGAAAGCAUGGAUAAGCUUGGUGCUUUCUGCAGAAGCGCUGCAGAUUGUUCAGUCAUUCUUGAUGUUGUUCGGGGGAAGGAUCCAGAUGAUCUCUCAUCAAGAGACAUUGCUUUUGAUGAUCCAUUUUCCAUCGACAUUACGCAGCUUACGGUUGGAUAUAUGGAUGAUGCUGAAAUGGAGGUUGUUCAUGUGCUCAAGGCAAAAGGUGUUAAUAUGGUUCCUUUCAAAUUGAAUUACACUGUUGACUCUGUUCAAGGCAUAUUAAAUUUCACGAUGGACGUUGAAAUGUUGGCU